Molecule: long non-coding RNA, 3151 nt
Filed under: Salmo salar (Atlantic salmon)
Lineage: Eukaryota; Metazoa; Chordata; Actinopteri; Salmoniformes; Salmonidae
Description: lncRNA (ENSSSAG00000098031.1)
Source: RNAcentral
GGUGGCUCCCAAUUUUGGCUGUAGUGUUUUCAUGCACGUGGAUGAGAGCAAGUUCUUUGUUGUUUUUCUCCGGUAAAGACAAGAAUGAUUCUCCAUCUUAAAUUGUAUUGCUUAUUUACGUAUUAGGGUACCUGAGGUUUGAUUAUAAACGUUGUUUGACUUGUUUGGAGAAGUUUAUUAGUAACGUUUGGGAUUCAUUUUGUAUGCAUUUUGAUGGAGGGAAACCAGUGGAUUAUUGACUGAAGAGCGCCAGCUAAACUGAGUUUUUGGGGAUAUAAAGAAGCACAUUAUCAAACAAAAGGACCAUUUGUGAUGUAUCUGGGACCUUUUGGAGUGCCAACAGAAGAAGAUCAUCAAAGGCACGCAGACAAUAAUGUAACAGGCAUGUCGAAAAGAAAAUGAGAAACAUCUAUCUUCCUCAUCACAACUGAGAGAAUGAUUUGCAAAUGUGCGAAAGGUAGAAACGAUCAGCUAUUCCUCAGAAUCUUCAAUCAAAAGCGGCAUUAAACGAAAGAGGGGAAGAAAAAGUGAUAUGAGAUGUGUCUGAGAGAGAGGUAUGUGGAGAUGUGUGCUUCUGUAUUAAGCAGUCAUUACUGGGACACACGACGUGGUAAAACUCCUUAUUAUGCCUUGAUAUCAGACCGGUGUGCUAAUGCAUAUUUUAAACCCGCCAAGGAACGAUUCUCAGUGAAUAAGCUUUUUAAAGGAAACACUUACUGCGGGAAUAAACUGGCCCAGUUUAAAGGUUAUCUGACUAUAAUGAAUCGAUUCCCUUUUACAUUUUUCUCAAGUCGUUGCAGAAACACCAAAUCAGCACACUGUCUUACUCCUCUCUUCCUCAUUUUGGCACUCUUCUCUGUUUGAUGGAGAGAUGAGACGAGAAAAGAGACACAGACUUCACAGUAGAAGUUCGAUAUCAGUUGCCAUGUGCCAAACAAAACUGGAAGACUAUUUGGCGAGAGAGAAAAGGAGGAGAGACAAAAGAAGAGAGAAGUGAACCGAAGAGUGAAAAGGAGGGGAUAAGGAGGAGGAGAGAGGAGCAGUUCACGCCCACACAUUCAUCCAUAUCCAAAGCCUGGCUUAUGGACAUGUUUCUACUGCGUUAGUCUCUGCUAUGCAAAUAGUGUAUUGACUUGAGCAGAAUCUCUGUUGUUUUAUUGUUACUGUGCUGCAUUGCUUUCUCUAUGUCCUUAACAAGGGCUCCAAGCCAAGGUCAUUGUGUUGUUUAGCCUAAUGAUUGUAUAAGAAUAGUUCUCCUGUCUCCUUCUUGCUUCCCCGGUUCUGUGUCUUGUUCUCUCCCUCUUAAAGAUCCCGAGGUUGCUGAAGGAGGAGCAGGGGGUAUAGGUAUUUGUUUACGUUUUAGUCCCCCGUGGAAAUUGAACCCACGGCCCUGGCGUUGCAGGCGCCAUGCUGUAGCAACUGAGCCACAAGCUACCUAAUCUAAUGAUUAGGUCCCUAAUGUUUAGUAAUGAGGCAUUUUUUUGUGUGUGUUUUGUGUGUUUCUGUUUUGUUUUUGUUUCGAGGUUUGUGGUGGAACCCAACUCUGUCUGCUGGAUCUCCUGUUUGGUAGUCCGCUUGUUGCAGGAGGCCAGGGGGCAUAGCUGGGAGGAUCGUCAGGUCUGUUCUCACCAUACAACACCCUCUCCACUCAUCCACACGCUCCAUACACUACCGAUCCUACCGAUGUCCCCAGCUUCUGUCAUUUUUUCCAAAUGUAUUAUUAUUUCGUUUAAUACGUUUCUUCCUUUUCACGUUUAAGUCAUGCGUGGUCCCCCUUUGUUGUUACGAACUACGAGCCAGGUUGUAACAUUAUCUUUACAACUUAUUUGUUACAGACAGAGAAUAACAUUUAAUGCAGCACUCGUGCAGUGAGCGAGGGUUUCCCUUGAUUUGCCUUCACUCGGCCUACGUACUCAGUGCCCCAGAGAGACCAACCAAGUCACGCUGCAGUAAAAACCAUCACAUGAACCCUCUGCAGAGAGAAGAGAAUAGAAUUCAUGAGCUUAGGAAUAGAAUUUUUACAAUUUGAAUUGUACCUGCAGGCUGAUUUCCGAACAGGGCCAGAGGAUUGGAUUUGUAGAUUUAAAGAGAUGUCAUCCAACAAAUAUAAAAGCAGAAACUACAUGUGUAACUGGCUUUGGGGGGGAGGAGAGAGAGGAAGAGAGCGGUGGAACAUGAACAUACAAGAUUAUCGAGGAGUAAAGAACAAAGCUCAGGCCAGGUUCAGCUGUAAUUGAACAUGGGAAAAACUGGUCCAGGAAUAAUCAUUUUGCGAGCCAUUGUCACACGAGGAAGAUAGUGUUGGGCACAACUUGCACCAACAUACAAAGGUACAUUUUAGUAGACGCUCUUAUCCAGGGCGACUUACAGUAGUGAAUGCAUACAUUUCAUAAAUUUUUUCUCCAUACUGGUCCCCCGUGGGAAUCGAACCCACAACCCUGGCGUUGCAAACACCAUGCUCUACCAACUGAGCCAUACGGGACAAGGUACAGACACACGCAUGCAUGCGCAGAUGCACACACCUUCCUUCUCCCCCUCUCUCUUUCCUACCUUGCCACAUCAUUCUCUGACGGUAGUUAGAAGGGCUCUCCUCUCCCCACCUCUCCGCUUAAAACCUCCUCUCUCCUCUGCCCUCUCCCCUUCCUUCACAGCCAUACAUGUAGCUGGAGGCCUCAUGAGCAGUAGGCUACAGGCACGCAAUAAACCAGUGCCUUUGUCUGAAAAUAACCCCCCCCCCCCAUUCUGCCCACCAUACACAACCUGGAAGGGCUCCCAGCCCCCUCAUCUGGGCAGGAAACAGCCUCCUAUCAGCCUAUCAGGCACUGUGGAACGACGUUUGGGCCUAUCAGACGCUGUGGAACGACGUUUGGGUCUAUCAGCUGCUGUGGAACAACGUUUGGGUCUAUCAGCUGCUGUGGAACGACGUUUGGGCCUAUCAGACGCUGUGGAACGACGUUUGGGCCUAUCAGCUGCUGUGGAACGACGUUUGGGUCUAUCAGACGCUGUGGAACGACGUUUGGGUCUAUCAGCUGCUGUGGAACGACGUUUGGGUCUAUCAGACGCUGUGGAACGACGUUUGGGUCUAUCAGCUGCUGUGGAACGACGUUUGGGUCUAUCAGCUGCUGUGGAACGACGUUUGGGCCUAUCAGAC